RNAcentral lists this ribosomal RNA (253 nucleotides) under uncultured bacterium. Its description in RNAcentral is "partial 16S ribosomal RNA". It matches the Rfam family "Bacterial small subunit ribosomal RNA", at positions 524 to 776 of the family's 1533-position model. The record is from RNAcentral.
UACGGGGGGGGCAAGCGUUGUUCGGAAUUACUGGGCGUAAAGGGCUCGUAGGCGGCCAACUAAGUCAGACGUGAAAUCCCUCGGCUUAACCGGGGAACUGCGUCUGAUACUGGAUGGCUUGAGGUUGGGAGAGGGAUGCGGAAUUCCAGGUGUAGCGGUGAAAUGCGUAGAGAUGUGGAGGAACACCGAUGGCGAAGGCAGCCCCCUGGGCUAACACUGACGCUCAUGCACGAAAGCGUGGGGAGCAAACAGG